Molecule: non-coding RNA, 97 nt
Organism: Sporormia fimetaria CBS 119925
Lineage: Eukaryota; Fungi; Ascomycota; Dothideomycetes; Pleosporales; Sporormiaceae
Source: the annotation of a GenBank genome assembly
GGUGAGAUGGCCGAGCGGUCUAAGGCGGCAGCUUCAGGUGCUUACUAAGUAUAUGCUGUUCAGGAAACUGGCGCGAGUUCGAAUCUCGCUCUCAUCA